Molecule: ribosomal RNA, 497 nt
Filed under: uncultured bacterium
Lineage: Bacteria
Description: partial 16S ribosomal RNA
Rfam family: Bacterial small subunit ribosomal RNA
Source: RNAcentral
GACGAACGCUGGCGGCGUGCCUAAUACAUGCAAGUUGAGCGAUGAAGAUUGGUGCUUGCACCAAUUUGAAGAGCAGCGAACGGGUGAGUAACGCGUGGGGAAUCUGCCUUUGAGCGGGGGACAACAUUUGGAAACGAAUGCUAAUACCGCAUAACAACUUUAAACAUAAGUUUUAAGUUUGAAAGAUGCAAUUGCCUCACUCAAAGAUGAUCCCGCGUUGUCUUAGGUAAUUGGUGAGGUAAAGGCUCAACAAGGCGAAGAUACAUAACCGAACUGAGAGGGGGGUCGGCCCCAAUGGGAAUGAGACAAGGCCCAAAACCCUAAGGGAGGGAGGAGGAGGGAAACUUCGGCAAUGGGCGGAAGGCUGGACGGAGAACGGCGGGGGGGGGAAGAAGGUUUUCGGGUUGGAAAACUCUUUUGGUAGGGAAGAAAGAUGGGGAGAGGGAAAAGCGCACGAAGUGACGGUAACUACUCAGAAAGCGACGGCUAACUACGUG